Molecule: long non-coding RNA, 861 nt
Organism: Tympanuchus pallidicinctus (lesser prairie-chicken)
Lineage: Eukaryota; Metazoa; Chordata; Aves; Galliformes; Phasianidae
Exons: 4
Source: RefSeq, a predicted model, not a curated record
GACAAUGGCAGCCCCUGCUGCAAUUCUUUGUGCACCUGCUGUGGUUCUAGAAGGUUCUGGAAGGUUCUGCACAGCUCCAGUGGCUGCAAUCAGCACCAGCUGGAUCUGCAACACCAUCACAAAGCACCUGUGGUCACUCAGCACAGUGCCUGGAGGGGGGAGAAGUUAAGAGAGGAAAAAGCACUGCCUGGCACUGAGAAGUGAGGGGAAGAAGUGUGAGAAGCAGUGAUGUGAGCUCUAGAGGUCUCAGGAACAAAGAAUUGACCUUCGUUGACUUGAAGCCAAACCGCAGCAAUUAGCAGCUGAAAGCAGGAGGAGAGCUGGGGGCGGACAACGGGAGCCAGCAGUUCAGGUUGGUUAUUUCCUCGGUUAUCUGAAGCAGUUGUCUGCAGUGUUACGAGUGGCCUGUUCAUACUGACUCACUGCAGCAUCACUUGGCCUUUCCAGCUCCCUGGGAUGAAAGCUGCUUGCACGGAAGCAUCAAUGUCAAUGUUUGGUUCUACAACCACAGUUGUACUGAAAACAGAAGUUACAGAAUGUGACAGUAUAAAGAUGUGGAAACAAUAUUCAGAAAAGCAGUGCAAAAGAGGCAUUCAGGAAGGCUGAAUGCCAUUGACCACGCUGCAUUACCAGUCUCUGCGUACGACCUUCGCCACUGAAGUGAUCCACAAAUCACCUAUGAAAUCAACUUAUGGCUUUUACCCAUAGAGUAAGAGCAAACUAACGAAUCCAUCUCACACAUGCUGUGUAAAAAGGUACUAUGAUAUUCAGAAAUCUAUCGUUCUGUUUAAUACAAAGCCUCUUAUUAUUUUUCUGUCUCCUGCCUACAAUAAAACAUUUUUUCCAUGUGUUGCUCAGAAA